This 468-nucleotide ribosomal RNA is filed under the name uncultured bacterium. RNAcentral's name for it is "partial 16S ribosomal RNA". It matches the Rfam family "Bacterial small subunit ribosomal RNA", at positions 28 to 507 of the family's 1533-position model. The record is from RNAcentral.
GACGAACGCUGGCGGCGUGCUUAACACAUGCAAGUCGAACGGAAAGGCCCUGCUUUUGUGGGGUGCUCGAGUGGCGAACGGGUGAGUAACACGUGAGUAGCCUGCCCUUGACUUUGGGAUAACUUCAGGAAGCUGGGGCUAAUACCGGAUAGGAGCUCCUGCUGCAUGGUGGGGGUUGGAAAGUUUCGGCGGUUGGGGAUGGACUCGCGGCUUAUCAGCUUGUUGGUGGGGUAGUGGCUUACCAAGGCUUUGACGGGUAGCCGGCCUGAGAGGGUGACCGGCCACAUUGGGACUGAGAUACGGCCCAGACUCCUACGGGAGGCAGCAGUGGGGAAUAUUGCACAAUGGGCGGAAGCCUAAUGCAGCAACGCCGCGUGCGGGAUGACGGCCUUCGGGUUGUAAACCGCUUUCGCCUGUGACGAAGCGUGAGUGACGGUAAUGGGUAAAGAAGCACCGGCUAACUACGUG